UUGAAAAUGCGCCUCUCUCUCUUCAUUUACUCUUUUCACUACCUCUUUUUCUUGAAGUCUACUUGUUAAUUAAUAAUUAGAGGAGUACUAUCUCUUUCUCUCUCCAAAAUAAAAUAAGAUUGUAAUUUUGUAAUCUUUUGGGUGUGUGAAUUCUCUGAAGAAGCAAAGUCUUCUCCCUCACACCUUUCAGUCUCUCACUUCUCUCCUUCCUUUCUCAAUCAUGGAGAUCGACGAGUAUAGGGUUUGACGCCACUCAAAGCUUACCAAAUUGUCUGUUCUUUACUGUUUUUGCCCUUUACUUGAGAGACUGUCCUUUUCUUUGGUUGAUUUGCUAUUGUCAUUUUGGUCUCUAUUUGUUCUUUUUUUUUAAUUUGUUUAGAACCCCAGUUUAAUUUGGUCUUCUGGGUAGACUUCUGAGUUUUGAUUGACCUUUUUGUUGAGUUGAACAUUUUUUUUUUAAUUUUGAUUAGUGGGUAUCCAUGCUGUUUGAGUAAUCAAGAUGGGUUUUUUACUAUUUGGGUUUAUGAUUUAUUUAUUUUUGUGUGAUUGAAGUUCUGUUAAAGGAGCCGACUCCGAGGUGGUUUUGAUGUUUAUGGCGUCAUGGGUUUGUAAAAUUAGGUUUUUUGUUUGCUCAUUUUUGAUUCAAGGGUGUUGAAAUGGAGGUUGAAAAAGCUAACAAAGCAGCAGUUGAGAGUCGUCACAGAGUUCUAAGUCUGAUAUCUCAGCCCCAAGAUCAGAUUCAGUAUAUUAUUUUGGACUAAAAGUUUCAUUACUCUCGUCCGUACUAGCGGACGACGUGAUUUAUUUUUCUAUCACAGCUAUUCAUGUUUUUUAAUGGAAGGUAUAGAUGUUAUAUGUCAUUUUUUAAUUCAUAGCAAAUAGAUAUUAUGGAUCAUUCUCUUAUAUAUAUAUAUAUAUAUAUGGGAAUCCAUCCAUGACAACCGGUUGUUAUGGAUACUGUGCAACAACCUCUUUUCAGACUGUUGAUCAACUUAUUGGAAGGCUGAGAUUGGGAUAUAUUAAUACCAAGCCGUGACAAGCUCGACUGGUUUCUAUUUAAAUAAGAGGGGCCCGCAUUUAAACAUAUUGUCAGUAUAGUUAAACAAAAUGAAUAUUUAAUAUUAAAAUAUUACAACCGGU
Molecule: long non-coding RNA, 1140 nt
Filed under: Panax ginseng (ginseng)
Lineage: Eukaryota; Viridiplantae; Streptophyta; Magnoliopsida; Apiales; Araliaceae
Description: long non-coding RNA (PGIN_LNC016063)
Source: RNAcentral